UGGCAAUGGAAUCCUUGGGAUAGUUGUAGGAGAAAAGGGAACCAAGGCUGUCUCGGCCACCAUGGGGAACAGAGUUUUUCCCCUGAAUUGUGGCGGACAAGAUAACGUGUAGAUUUGGAAAGGAAAGCCUGGAUCGAGAGCACCUGGUGAGCUCCAAUAAUCCAUCCUACUGGAGUAUGG
Hemicordylus capensis (graceful crag lizard) is the source of this 180-nucleotide long non-coding RNA. RefSeq lists it as uncharacterized. NCBI's taxonomy places the organism in Eukaryota, Metazoa, Chordata, Lepidosauria, Squamata, Cordylidae. The transcript has 3 exons. The record is from RefSeq and is a predicted model, not a curated record.